CCUACGGGGGGCAGCAGUGAGGAAUAUUGGUCAAUGGGCUUACGCCUGAACCAGCCAAGUCGCGUGAGGGAAGACUGCCCUAUGGGUUGUAAACCUCUUUUGUCAGGGAGCAACGCCGGCUACGUGUAGCCGGACUGAGAGUACCUGAAGAAAACGCAUCGGCUAACUCCGUGCCAGCAGCCGCGGUAAUACGGAGGAUGCGAGCGUUAUCGGGAUUUAUGGGGUUUAAAGGGUGCGUAGGCGGAAUGCCAAGUCAGGGGUAAAAUCGCGGGGCUCAACCUCGCUCCGCCGUUGAUACUGGCGUUCUUGAGUGGGCGAGAAGUAUGCGGAAUGCGUGGUGUAGCGGUGAAAUGCAUAGAUAUCACGCAGAACUCCGAUUGCGAAGGCAGCAUACCGGCGCCCAACUGACGCUGAAGCACGAAAGCGUGGGUAUCGAACAGGAUUAGAUACCCUAGUAGUC
This 460-nucleotide ribosomal RNA is filed under the name uncultured bacterium. RNAcentral's name for it is "partial 16S ribosomal RNA". It matches the Rfam family "Bacterial small subunit ribosomal RNA", at positions 338 to 795 of the family's 1533-position model. The record is from RNAcentral.